RNAcentral lists this ribosomal RNA (440 nucleotides) under uncultured bacterium. Its description in RNAcentral is "bacterial SSU rRNA". It matches the Rfam family "Bacterial small subunit ribosomal RNA", at positions 338 to 795 of the family's 1533-position model. The record is from RNAcentral.
CCUACGGGGGGCACCAGUGGGGAAUUUUCCGCAAUGGGCGAAAGCCUGAUCCAGCCAUGCCGCGUGAGUGAAGAAGGCCUUAGGGUUGUAAAGCUCUUUCACCGGUGAAGAUAAUGACGGUAACCGGAGAAGAAGCCCCGGCUAACUUCGUGCCAGCAGCCGCGGUAAUACGAAGGGGGCUAGCGUUGCUCGGAAUGACUGGGCGUAAAGGGCGCGUAGGCGGUUUAUGCAGUCAGAUGUGAAAUCCCCGGGCUUAACCUGGGAACUGCAUUUGAGACGCAUAGACUAGAGGUCGAGAGAGGGUUGUGGAAUUCCCAGUGUAGAGGUGAAAUUCGUAGAUAUUGGGAAGAACACCGGUGGCGAAGGCGGCAACCUGGCUCGAUACUGACGCUGAGGCGCGAAAGCGUGGGGAGCAAACAGGAUUAGAUACCCCAGUAGUC